GUCCAUGGCCAUACCACCCUGAACGCACCUGAUCGUGUACAAUCCUGGCAGCUAAGCAGGGUCGGGCCUGGUUAGUACUUGGAUGGGAUUGCGCCUGGGAAUACCGGGUGCUGUAGGCU
This 119-nucleotide ribosomal RNA is filed under the name Ornithorhynchus anatinus (platypus). Lineage: Eukaryota; Metazoa; Chordata; Mammalia; Monotremata; Ornithorhynchidae. The record is from RNAcentral.